AAAGUAUAAGAAGAUUAAAAUUAAUGUGAGGAAAAUUUGAUGAGAAAGUGAAUAAAAAAAAUAAAGACAAAAAAAGAGUGAUAUUACUAUACCUGAAAUACCUAUCACAUAAAUAAAAUGGUGAUAUCUAUAUAUUGCUGGUAAAUAUAAAUCAAUAUCAAAAUAAUAGCAUGAUUAAUUAUAAUUGUAGGAAAAAUAAUACCUAUCACAUAAAUAAAAUGGUGAUAUAUAUAUAUAUAUAUAUAUAUAUGAAUCGAGUAUAUGUUUAGUCCUUCAUAACAUGAUUAAUUAUAAUUGUAGGAAAAAUAGAAGAAUAAACAAUUGCACAAAAUAAUAGUACCUCAAUAAUAUGAAUGUUGCAUAUAUUUUGUUACAUGAAUCUCAACUUUAUCUCCACAAAUCAAUCUCCAUGGGAAUCCCUGGAAAUCAAACAUGUAUAUUUACAUCAAAUUAACAAUAAGAACCAUAACACAAAAUUCUACCAAUGCAAAACCACAUAAAAAAGUAUAUUGUAUAAAUUAAAAGUAAAAAUAUUAAAAAACAUAUACAUAAAAAUCAACAAAAAUACAACGUAUGAUAAUAAAUUAGUUCAA
Molecule: long non-coding RNA, 593 nt
Filed under: Trifolium pratense (red clover)
Lineage: Eukaryota; Viridiplantae; Streptophyta; Magnoliopsida; Fabales; Fabaceae
Description: long non-coding RNA (TPRA_LNC003367)
Source: RNAcentral